This is a long non-coding RNA of Rhea pennata, 1131 nucleotides long. RefSeq lists it as uncharacterized. NCBI's taxonomy places the organism in Eukaryota, Metazoa, Chordata, Aves, Rheiformes, Rheidae. The record is from RefSeq and is a predicted model, not a curated record. The transcript has 4 exons.
GAUCCGAGGGGGAGACGUGAGCAUCUCUAAUGCUGGAGAUGAAACACCCCCACAGUCCCCGCCGCCUAAAGAGGAGGAGGAACGAGCCACAAGAGGAAGGAGGGAAAGGGAUUUUUUCCCCUAGUCCCUUAAUCCACCUUCCUCCAUACUAAUCUGAAGAUGACUUUUUGUGUGGUCAAUGAGGAGGUCAGAGCUCAAGGACAAUUUGCUGGGCAUCUGGGCUAGAUCUUCAGCUGGUGUAUAUCAUGCUAAUUGAGAAAUUCAUCACACCAGUAGCAGACUGGGUUCCUGAACAAGCUGGAGUUGCAUUUCUGACUAUUUCUUACUCACAGGAAAAAUCUUUUACUGGUGUUUGCUGUUGGCAGACAGCACAGACCUCAAAACCUCAACUGUGAAACUGCAGAGCAGUGAGAGGUGACAUAUGGUCUUCUCUGUGUUUCAGAUGAAUUUUCUGACAAGUUGCAAAGCCAGAAAGCUUCAUGGCAAUUCUUAGCUAGAUUGCUUAAUGAUGGAGCCAGAAAAGGCAAAAACUGUUUCAAAAGAUACAACAUAGCUUAAACCAAAGUUACAGGCUUGCUGCAGAAAUUACUGGGUGAGGUUCUUCGGGCUAAGUCAAACUGCAGAUCUAACUAAAUGGUCAUUUUGGGCUUUAAAUCCAUGAAAGUGCUUUGCCUAAAAUAAGAUCGUUAUGGAUCUCAUCUCAAGUCUGUUUUAAAGUUCUAAAAACUUUCAUUAAAUAUUUCACGCAUUAAAAUGUUUCACAGGAUUUCUCUUGUUGAAUACUCAGCUUUGGGUUAUGAUAGGAAGCAAACCACUGGAGACAGAAGUCUUUCUGCUCCAGCAAUAAUAUAAGGAAGGCUGAAUUGAGUCAGACCAAAGGUCUUAACAGCCUGGCAUCCUGCAUUUGAUCAAGGCCUGUAGCAUAUGCCUAGAGUAGGAACAUAAAGACAGAGCAGCUACAGCUUCACCUUUUCUUGUAUUUAACAUCUCAGUUUCUGAAAAUCUGCAGUUUAAGGACUUCUAGAAUUGGAGACUAAGUCCAUCUCUCACCAAAGUAGCCUUUUGUUCCAUUAAUUUGUCUUGUCACUUCUUCCAGCCAUUAAUACUUCUAGCAUCUAAAGUAUCUUAUGG